RNAcentral lists this ribosomal RNA (370 nucleotides) under uncultured Alcaligenaceae bacterium. RNAcentral describes it as "bacterial SSU rRNA". It matches the Rfam family "Bacterial small subunit ribosomal RNA", at positions 1008 to 1382 of the family's 1533-position model. Lineage: Bacteria; Pseudomonadati; Pseudomonadota; Betaproteobacteria; Burkholderiales; Alcaligenaceae. The record is from RNAcentral.
UUGGGAGUGCUCGCAAGAGAACUGGAACACAGGUGCUGCAUGGCUGUCGUCAGCUCGUGUCGUGAGAUGUUGGGUUAAGUCCCGCAACGAGCGCAACCCUUGUCAUUAGUUGCUACGAAAGGGCACUCUAAUGAGACUGCCGGUGACAAACCGGAGGAAGGUGGGGAUGACGUCAAGUCCUCAUGGCCCUUAUGGGUAGGGCUUCACACGUCAUACAAUGGUCGGGACAGAGGGUUGCCAACCCGCGAGGGGGAGCUAAUCUCAUAAACCCGAUCGUAGUCCGGAUUGCAGUCUGCAACUCGACUGCAUGAAGUCGGAAUCGCUAGUAAUCGCGGAUCAGCAUGUCGCGGUGAAUACGUUCCCGGGUCUU